GUGUGUGUUCCAGGUAAAUCCGGUUCACUUUAACACUGAGGCGUGACGACGAGGCACUACGGUGCUGAAGCAACAAAUGCCCUGCUUCCAGGAAAAGCCUCUAAGCAUCAGGUAACAUCAAAUCGUACCCCAAACCGACACAGGUGGUCAGGUAGAGAAUACCAAGGCGCUUGAGAGAACUCGGGUGAAGGAACUAGGCAAAAUGGUGCCGUAACUUCGGGAGAAGGCACGCUGACACGUAGGUGAAGUGAUUUACUCAUGGAGCUGAAGUCAGUCGAAGAUACCAGCUGGCUGCAACUGUUUAUUAAAAACACAGCACUGUGCAAACACGAAAGUGGACGUAUACGGUGUGACGCCUGCCCGGUGCCGGAAGGUUAAUUGAUGGGGUCAGCGCAAGCGAAGCUCCUGAUCGAAGCCCCGGUAAACGGCGGCCGUAACUAUAACGGUCCUAAGGUAGCGAAAUUCCUUGUCGGGUAAGUUCCGACCUGCACGAAUGGCGUAAUGAUGGCCAGGCUGUCUCCACCCGAGACUCAGUGAAAUUGAACUCGCUGUGAAGAUGCAGUGUACCCGCGGCAAGACGGAAAGACCCCGUGAACCUUUACUAUAGCUUGACACUGAACAUUGAGCCUUGAUGUGUAGGAUAGGUGGGAGGCUUUGAAGUGUGGACGCCAGUCUGCAUGGAGCCGACCUUGAAAUACCACCCUUUAAUGUUUGAUGUUCUAACGUGGACCCGUUACCCGGGUUGCGGACAGUGUCUGGUGGGUAGUUUGACUGGGGCGGUCUCCUCCUAAAGAGUAACGGAGGAGCACGAAGGUUGGCUAAUCCUGGUCGGACAUCAGGAGGUUAGUGCAAUGGCAUAAGCCAGCUUGACUGCGAGCGUGACGGCGCGAGCAGGUGCGAAAGCAGGUCAUAGUGAUCCGGUGGUUCUGAAUGGAAGGGCCAUCGCUCAACGGAUAAAAGGUACUCCGGGGAUAACAGGCUGAUACCGCCCAAGAGUUCAUAUCGACGGCGGUGUUUGGCACCUCGAUGUCGGCUCAUCACAUCCUGGGGCUGAAGUAGGUCCCAAGGGUAUGGCUGUUCGCCAUUUAAAGUGGUACGCGAGCUGGGUUUAGAACGUCGUGAGACAGUUCGGUCCCUAUCUGCCGUGGGCGCUGGAGAACUGAGGGGGGCUGCUCCUAGUACGAGAGGACCGGAGUGGACGCAUCACUGGUGUUCGGGUUGUCAUGCCAAUGGCACUGCCCGGUAGCUAAAUGCGGAAGAGAUAAGUGCUGAAAGCAUCUAAGCACGAAACUUGCCCCGA
RNAcentral lists this ribosomal RNA (1300 nucleotides) under Salmonella enterica. RNAcentral's name for it is "partial 23S ribosomal RNA". It matches the Rfam family "Bacterial large subunit ribosomal RNA", at positions 1524 to 2802 of the family's 2925-position model. The record is from RNAcentral. Lineage: Bacteria; Pseudomonadati; Pseudomonadota; Gammaproteobacteria; Enterobacterales; Enterobacteriaceae. RNAcentral also lists the same sequence under 1 other name.